GGCAGCAGUGGGGAAUAUUGCACAAUGGGCGCAAGCCUGAUGCAGCAACGCCGCGUGAGGGAUGACGGCCUUCGGGUUGUAAACCUCUUUUAGUAGGGAAGAAGCGAAAGUGACGGUACCUGCAGAAAAAGCACCGGCUAACUACGUGCCAGCAGCCGCGGUAAUACGUAGGGUGCAAGCGUUGUCCGGAAUUAUUGGGCGUAAAGAGCUCGUAGGCGGCUUGUCGCGUCUGCUGUGAAAACCCGAGGCUCAACCUCGGGCCUGCAGUGGGUACGGGCAAGCUAGAGUGCGGUAGGGGAGAUUGGAAUUCCUGGUGUAGCGGUGGAAUGCGCAGAUAUCAGGAGGAACACCGAUGGCGAAGGCAGAUCUCUGGGCCGUAACUGACGCUGAGGAGCGAAAGCAUGGGGAGCGAACAGGAUUAGAUACCCUGGUAGUCCAUGCCGUAAACGUUGGGAACUAGAUGUAGGGACUGUUCCACGGUUUCUGUGUCGUAGCUAACGCAUUAAGUUCCCCGCCUGGGGAGUACGGCCGCAAGGCUAAAACUCAAAGGAAUUGACGGGGGCCCGCACAAGCGGCGGAGCAUGCGGAUUAAUUCGAUGCAACGCGAAGAACCUUACCAAGGCUUGACAUAUACGAGAACGGGCCAGAAAUGGUCAACUCUUUGGACACUCGUAUACAGGUGGUGCAUGGUUGUCGUCAGCUCGUGUCGUGAGAUGUUCGGUUAAGUCCGGCAACGAGCGCAACCCUCGUCCUAUGUUGCCAGCACGUUAUGGUGGGAACUCAUGGGAUACUGCCGUGGUCAACACGGAGGAAGGUGGGGAUGACGUCAAAUCAUCAUGCCCCUUAUGUCUUGGGCUUCACGCAUGCUACAAUGGCCGAUACAAAGGGCUGCGAUACCGCGAGGUGGAGCGAAUCCCAAAAAGUCGGUCUCAGUUCGGAUUGGGGUCUGCAACUCGACCCCAUGAAGUCGGAGUCGCUAGUAAUCGCAGAUCAGCAACGCUGCGGUGAAUACGUUCCCGGGCCUUGUACACACCGCCCGUCAAGUCAUGAAAGUCGGUAACACCCGAAGCCGGUGGCCUAACCCUUGUGGAGGGAGCCGUCGAAGGUGGGACUGGUGAUUAGGACUAAGUCGUAACAAGGUAGCCGUACCGGAAGGUGCGGCUG
This 1164-nucleotide ribosomal RNA is filed under the name Caenorhabditis angaria. RNAcentral's name for it is "bacterial SSU rRNA". It matches the Rfam family "Bacterial small subunit ribosomal RNA", at positions 347 to 1520 of the family's 1533-position model. Lineage: Eukaryota; Metazoa; Nematoda; Chromadorea; Rhabditida; Rhabditidae. The record is from RNAcentral.